This 358-nucleotide long non-coding RNA is filed under the name Olea europaea (common olive). RNAcentral's name for it is "long non-coding RNA (OEUR_LNC011213)". The record is from RNAcentral. Lineage: Eukaryota; Viridiplantae; Streptophyta; Magnoliopsida; Lamiales; Oleaceae.
UAAAUAACAUCUGAUAUGAUCACGAAUAAAAAACCCCUUCUUGGGAUCAAAAACCUCCGGACAAACUAGCCAAUAAAAUCCACUGGAAAAGUAAACUUAUAAUUAGUUCAGACACAACUAAACCUUAAUUGACACUGGCCACCUAAUUUCUAAAUCACUAAGGAAUUCCUUCAAUUGUACAACCGGCACUUUUCAGCAACUUUGGGCCACUUUUCUCUCCGUGUGGAUCAUCAAGAGCGAACUCAUUCCAGAGCAUUGUAACUCCAAGUGCCUAUUUUCCUACUUCAAAACUCUAAAGGCUUGUAGUUGGAGGUAAAGAUUGUGUUUGAUCUUUAGAUCUUUUGUUUUUUUAUCUUUG